Molecule: ribosomal RNA, 497 nt
Filed under: uncultured bacterium
Lineage: Bacteria
Description: partial 16S ribosomal RNA
Rfam family: Bacterial small subunit ribosomal RNA
Source: RNAcentral
GACGAACGCUGGCGGCGUGCCUAAUACAUGCAAGUCGAACGCUGAAGAGAGGAGCUUACUCUUCUUGGAUGAGUUGCGAACGGGUGAGUAACGCGUAGGUAACCUGCCUUGUAGCGGGGGAUAACUAUUGGAAACGAUAGCUAAUACCGCAUAACAAUGGAUGACACAUGUCAUUUAUUUGAAAGGGGCAAUUGCUCCACUACAAGAUGGACCUGCGUUGUAUUAGCUAGUAGGUGAGGUAAUGGCUCACCUAGGCGACGAUACAUAGCCGACCUGAGAGGGUGAUCGGCCACACUGGGACUGAGACACGGCCCAGACUCCUACGGGAGGCAGCAGUAGGGAAUCUUCGGCAAUGGGGGCAACCCUGACCGAGCAACGCCGCGUGAGUGAAGAAGGUUGUCGGAUCGUAAAGCUCUGUUGUAAGUCAAGAACGGGUGUGAGAGUGGAAAGUUCACACUGUGACGGUAGCUUACCAGAAAGGGACGGCUAACUACGUG